This is a long non-coding RNA of Carassius gibelio (silver crucian carp), 1473 nucleotides long. RefSeq lists it as uncharacterized. The record is from RefSeq and is a predicted model, not a curated record. The transcript has 2 exons. Lineage: Eukaryota; Metazoa; Chordata; Actinopteri; Cypriniformes; Cyprinidae.
UGUGUGAAGCACUGUGUCGUGCCCGUCUUGGUGCGCUGCUGGUGGCUGGUCUCUCUCUCUCUCUCUCUCUCUCUCUCUCUCUCUCUCUCUCUCUCUCUCUCUCUCUCUCUCUCUCUCUCUCUCUCUCUCUCUGUCUCUCUCUCUCUCUCUGUCUCUCUCUCUGUCUCUCUCUCUGUCUCUCUGUCUCUGUCUCUGGAAUUGUAUGAUUGUGAAGACAUCGGGAACCUUAAAGGUUGAGAAGUGAACGGAUUAUACGGCGAAUUGAGACGACGUGAAAAAGGGGAUUGGAAGCGGCAUUGAUGUGAGUACUAAGAGCAAGCCGAAAGUGCCCUGUAUAUUGACCUGGCGUUGUGUAGAUCUCCCCAGGAGGAGGAGGGCGGCCCUACCCCUAAUAUAGCGUGGUGGGAGAGCCGAAGGAAUACUUAUUGAAGUAGUCACAACGACGACAUCACUAGCUAGGCCGCAUAUUCCAUCGCCAGAUCCGAACCAAGCGAAGUGAAGGAAGACGGGUGUCCUUUUCGUACACUGAGUGUGGUGGGUGAGUCUUCGUGCUGUGAAAACCUAAAAUUUUGACGUGGUGCUGUAUAUUGCUGUGGGUUGCUGUGUAUUGCCGUGUGUCCUGUCAGAUAAACCCCCGCCUUCACGCACUCCGUCGCGGGAGGACAAAGAGACUGCUGGUUCUAGCCUAGUUCAGUACAGUAUAUGUUGUGAGCGUGCUUCAGACCUCCGGAGAUAGCACGGUACACUGUGUUCAGCCCAGAGGUGGGAGCUAUUCAAAGCAAACUAACUGUGCUUUGUGUCCAAUCUGAUACCUGUGGAGAGAAAAGGAAAAAGAGAUUGAUACCUGUGGAGAGGAGGAGAGAGAGUGGAUAACGGGAGGAGAAAUAGAGCGAAACCUGUACUUACAAUACGCUGUGUCCAGCCCAGAGGUGAGAGUCAUUCAAAGCAAACUAACUGUGCUAUUGUGCCCAAGUUGAUACCUGUGGAGAGAAAAGGAGAGAGAGUGGGUAACACGAGGAGAGACCGAGGAAACCCGUACUUACGCCGCUGCCUGUGGAGAAAGAGAAAGAGAGUGAGCACCCAAGGAACGAACUGUGUGAACCAGUACUUACUGUGAGCUGCAAUCAGCGAAGAGGUGAGAGCAAAACCAAGCCGAAUUAACUGUGCCUUUGCGUCCCAGCCGUUGCCUGUGGAGGAAGAGAAAGAGAGUGAGCACCCCGAGAACGAACUGUGUGAACCAGUACUUACCGUGAGUUGUAUUCAGCGAGGAGGAAGAAGGAGGGCGCUACGGAUAUCUAAGACUCUGGCCGGGCCCCGAGUCCCACGCCCCGGAUCCCCGUGGCCCCCUUGCUCCCUGACCUCUUCCCGGCCAUAGCCCAUCUGGAGGGCCGAGUCAGAGUUUAGUUUUAAUUGCCCUUUCCCUAUUCCCCAAGCUAUUUUUAAAUAUUUAAAUAAAGAUUGUUUUAUCACUUA